CAGUCUGGUGCCAGCAGCCGCGGUAACUCCAGCUCCAAUAGCAUAUAUUAAAAUUGCUGCAGUUAAAAAGCUCGUAGUUGGAUCUGGGUUCUGGUUUGGAGACUGCUUGUUCAUAGUGGAUUGUUUUCAUGAAGCUUUGGGCAGUGGUACUUCUAGGCCGAAUCUUCCAGCUGUGUCUGCAUAAGGCUUCGGCUUUGUGUAGAUAGAUUCGUUGUGUUGAAGUUCCCUCACGGGUCUUCACUUUCGGAUCUAUACKCUGUAAUGCCUUUAAUCGGGUGUUCAGUGUGGACAGCACGUUUACUUUGAACAAAUUUGAGUGCUCAAAGCAAGCCU
Molecule: ribosomal RNA, 333 nt
Filed under: Gyrodactylus truttae
Lineage: Eukaryota; Metazoa; Platyhelminthes; Monogenea; Gyrodactylidea; Gyrodactylidae
Description: bacterial SSU rRNA
Rfam family: Eukaryotic small subunit ribosomal RNA
Source: RNAcentral